AGCAGCCGCGGUAAUUCCAGCUCCAAUAGCGUAUAUUAAAGUUGUUGCAGUUAAAAAGCUCGUAGUUGAAUUUCGGGGUUAGUAGGUUGGUCGUGCCACUGGUACGUACUGGUCUCACUGACUCCUCCUUCCUGAUGAACUGUAAUGCCAUUAAUUUGGUGUUGCGGGGAAACUGGACUGUUACUUUGAAAAAAUUAGAGUGUUUAAAGCAAGCUAACGCUUGAAUACAUUAGCAUGGAAUAAUGAAAUAGGACGUUCGAUCCUAUUUUGUUGGUUUCUAGGAUUGACGUAAUGAUUAAUAGGGAUAGUUGGGGGCAUUAGUAUUCAAUUGUCAGAGGUGAAAAUUCUUGGGAUUUUAUUGAAGACUAACUACUGCGAAAGCAUUUGCCAAGGAUGUUUUCAUUAAUCAAGAACGAAAGUUAGGGAUCGAAGACGAUCAGAUACCGUCGUAGUCUUAACCAUAAACUAUGCCGACUAGGGAUCGGAUGAUGGUUAAUUUUUAUGUACUCAUUCGGCGCCU
This 520-nucleotide ribosomal RNA is filed under the name uncultured Glomus. Its description in RNAcentral is "SSU rRNA". It matches the Rfam family "Eukaryotic small subunit ribosomal RNA", at positions 569 to 1088 of the family's 1831-position model. The record is from RNAcentral. Lineage: Eukaryota; Fungi; Glomeromycota; Glomeromycetes; Glomerales; Glomeraceae.